This is a non-coding RNA of Coturnix japonica (Japanese quail), 1422 nucleotides long. The record is from RefSeq and is a predicted model, not a curated record. Lineage: Eukaryota; Metazoa; Chordata; Aves; Galliformes; Phasianidae.
UUACAAUUUACAUUACAUUUUUUAAGUGUUUCAUGAUCUCUCAUUAUCCAUAAACUUACAUACUGUAAAAUAAUUCUUUCCUAUGAAUUAUCUCAGUGCAGGUUUCCCUUUGUUAUGCUUUGAAAGUGAGUUUUCAUUUCAUAUUGUAGCAGAAACGCUAAAUCAUGACCUGAACCAGUGAUGGAGCACCUGGUGGGAAGGCAGGGCCAAGCUGGGGGAAUUUGGGUUCAUGCAGCCCAGCUGAGUGACUGGGAGGAGGGGAGCCAGGAUCCACCCCUUCCAGACCUUAUUCAGAGGUUGGCAGUGGAGAUGAAGGUUUCUUGCGGGAGAUCCCUGUUUACUGGAGACCUUCUAAAGAUAAGCAGUUCUUCUUUUGUUACUGUGUUUACAGCUGCUGUGUUUGGGCUUGUUCUCAUUUGUUGCUUCCCGGGAUUGUGUUGUUCCACUAUUACUGUUGUACUUUUUAUCCCAUUACAGCAUUAUGUGUAUGAAUGUGAAUAUCUACCUACACAGCUUUAGAUCAUCCAUUGCAUUCCUUGUUACUGAUGUCAAUGGAAGGAAUUAAUCUGUGUCCAUAGGUGCCAAAAUUCUGCUGUUGUUACACUGGCUGGGUGGCUCUGAAGGCACAGACAUCAACUGACAGGGAGCUCUGGGUCCAAGGAAACGAUGUGGAAGAAGCACUGUCUGAAUCAGACUCAGGCAGGACUCAGUGGCACAGUGAAGCAAAAAUGCUCAGUGAAAUCAGUCAGUAAACUAACAGUUUCCAUUACCACGAGGCUGGUUAUUCCUGUUGUCACAGCGCUGGUUGAAUGACUUUAACUUUUGCACUAAAAUAUUAAAGUCAGGAAUGUACCAAGAUGAGAAUGAUUUAUUUUGGUUGGGCUUCCGUUAUUUUUAAUGUUAAAAUUUGUGGGGAAACUAUGUAAUUUGUACAGUGAUAAACUGAAAGAUCAUUUCUGAAUAAAACUGAGUUUUAACUAUUUCAUAUUCUCCCAGUCUUAGUGUAUCUCUGCUGCGCACCACGUUGUGGGUAAAAGAUAAUUGUUUGCUUUAGAGUGCUGAUGUAUGUGCAUGACUUAAAUGAACACAAGUAAAUAGAUUUAAUGGGAUGUGAUUGGAUGGUCUGACUUACAAGUGGGUAAAGCUGCUUGUCAAAUAACGUAACAUGAUUCUGCAAAGAAUCUCUUAAAUUCUGGAUGGUUCUCUGUAUAACCUUAAACGCCUCUCACUCUUCCUUCCUUCUGAAUCCUCAGUUUCAUAUGCUUUCAUUGAUUUAUUUUUCUCCCUCCUCACCAUCAAGUAAUAUAUACCAAGCUAUUAAAAGAUGUUAUCACUGAGCUUUCUGCUUUCUUACGUGAGUUCAGAUUUAAUUUUUGUCAAGCAGUGUAAGAAUUCAAAAAUAAAGGUUUCUUAUGUGAUAUU